CAGUAGCCGCGGUAAUACGGAGGGUGCGAGCGUUAAUCGGAAUUACUGGGCGUAAAGCGCGCGUAGACGGUUUGGUAAGUCAGAUGUGAAAUCCCUGGGCUCAACCUGGGAACUGCAUUUGAUACUGCCUGGCUAGAGUAUCGAAGAGGGAAGUGGAAUUUCCGGUGUAGCGGUGAAAUGCGUAGAUAUCGGAAGGAACACCAGUGGCGAAAGCGACUUCCUGGUCGAAUACUGACGUUCAUGUGCGAAAGCGUGGGGAGCAAACAGGAUUAGAUACCCCUGUAGUCCCUGUCUCUUAUAC
This 301-nucleotide ribosomal RNA is filed under the name uncultured bacterium. RNAcentral describes it as "partial 16S ribosomal RNA". It matches the Rfam family "Bacterial small subunit ribosomal RNA", at positions 509 to 807 of the family's 1533-position model. The record is from RNAcentral.